Megalops atlanticus (tarpon) is the source of this 72-nucleotide non-coding RNA. NCBI's taxonomy places the organism in Eukaryota, Metazoa, Chordata, Actinopteri, Elopiformes, Megalopidae. The record is from the annotation of a GenBank genome assembly.
GACAGUGUAGCACAGUGGUAAGGCACAGCGCUUGUAAUGGAAAGGUUGCCGGUUCAAUUCCCUGCAGGGUCA